AUCGCAAAAUUCAGGGCAUACUCGAAUCUUCGAACGCAACUUGCGCUCUCCUGGUAUUCCGGAGAGCAUGCCAGUCUUGAGUGUCAU
RNAcentral lists this ribosomal RNA (87 nucleotides) under uncultured soil eukaryote. RNAcentral describes it as "partial 5.8S ribosomal RNA". It matches the Rfam family "5.8S ribosomal RNA", at positions 71 to 154 of the family's 154-position model. Rfam says of the family: 5.8S ribosomal RNA (5.8S rRNA) is a component of the large subunit of the eukaryotic ribosome. It is transcribed by RNA polymerase I as part of the 45S precursor that also contains 18S and 28S rRNA. The record is from RNAcentral.